This 245-nucleotide ribosomal RNA is filed under the name uncultured bacterium. RNAcentral's name for it is "partial 16S ribosomal RNA". It matches the Rfam family "Bacterial small subunit ribosomal RNA", at positions 524 to 768 of the family's 1533-position model. The record is from RNAcentral.
UACGGAGGGUGCAAGCGUUGUUCGGAAUUACUGGGCGUAAAGCGCGUGUAGGCGGCCCUGCAAGUCCGGUGUGAAAGCCCUCGGCUUAACCGGGGAAGUGCAUCGGAAACUGCUUGGCUUGAGUACUGUAGAGGGAGGCGGAAUUCCCAGUGUAGAGGUGAAAUUCGUAGAUAUUGGGAGGAACACCGGUGGCGAAAGCGGCCUCCUGGACAGAUACUGACGCUGAGACGCGAAAGCGUGGGGAG